Long non-coding RNA from Folsomia candida, 267 nucleotides. RefSeq lists it as uncharacterized. The transcript is spliced from 2 exons. The record is from RefSeq and is a predicted model, not a curated record. NCBI's taxonomy places the organism in Eukaryota, Metazoa, Arthropoda, Collembola, Entomobryomorpha, Isotomidae.
UAUCUGUGCAAUUAUUAUUACAUUUUUCAACGCAGCAUAACGUAAAGUACACACACACACAUCACACACAAUUUAUAAUGAAAAUAGUGCUAUACUACCCAUUUUAGAGGGAGAGAGAGAGAGCUGGGAUCACACCUUAAGAACUUCUCGGAUGCCUGAUUUCAGUCAGAUUUCAAAUCAAUUUCUGCUCUGCUACGUAAAUAAUUUUAUGACGCAACUAUUUUACCGAGAACAUAAUUUUCGGGAAAUAAAUGUAUUUGAAACGUC